UUACCGUGAAAAAAUUAGAGUGUUCAAAGCAGGCAGAUUCAAUUUUCUGCCACCGAAUACAUUAGCAUGGGAUAAUGGAAUAGGACCCUGUCCUCCUUUUUUCAGUUGGUUAAUUCACAAGAGAGGAACAGGGUAAUGAUUAAUAGGGAUAGUUGGGGGCAUUAAUAUUUAAUUGUCAGAGGUGAAAUUCUUGGAUUUAUGAAAGAUUAACUUCUGCGAAAGCAUCUGCCAAGGAUGUUUUCAUUAAUCAAGAACGAAAGUUAGGGGAUCGAAGACGAUCAGAUACCGUCGUAGUCUUAACCAUAAACGAUGCCGACCAGCGAUUAGGAGACGUUGAAUACAAAACACCU
This 350-nucleotide ribosomal RNA is filed under the name Acanthamoeba palestinensis. Its description in RNAcentral is "SSU rRNA". It matches the Rfam family "Eukaryotic small subunit ribosomal RNA", at positions 752 to 1079 of the family's 1831-position model. Lineage: Eukaryota; Discosea; Longamoebia; Acanthamoebidae. The record is from RNAcentral.